RNAcentral lists this unclassified non-coding RNA (4510 nucleotides) under Agrilus planipennis (emerald ash borer). RNAcentral describes it as "serine/threonine-protein kinase SIK3, transcript variant X1". Lineage: Eukaryota; Metazoa; Arthropoda; Insecta; Coleoptera; Buprestidae. The record is from RNAcentral.
UCCACCACCUCUUUAGUGCAGUUUAGUGUCUAGUGGAGUGGGUCGUAGGCAUAGAAGGGUUAUUGUUGUUACGUCGUUAAAAUAGUGAAAAUGUCUGGAAAAACUUUACCCGUGGAAAAAUUAGUGCGGGUUGGUUAUUAUGAACUCGAAAAAACAAUUGGCAAGGGUAAUUUUGCUGUCGUGAAACUUGCUACACAUGUUGUUACAAGAACCAAGGUGGCCAUUAAAAUAAUAGAUAAGACUGCAUUAGAUGAAGAAAAUUUAACCAAAAUAUUCCGGGAGACUGCAAUAAUGAAGAAACUUCGUCAUCCGCACAUAACAAGACUGUAUCAACUCAUGGAAACCAAUCAGACCAUCUACCUAGUAACAGAGUACGCUAGUAAGGGUGAAAUAUUUGAUCAUUUAGUAUCUAGGGGUCGCAUGGCCGAAUCAGAAGCUAAACGAAUAUUUAAUCAGAUAGUAUCGGCUGUGAAUUACUGUCAUUCGCAAGGAAUAGUUCAUAGAGAUCUUAAGGCUGAAAAUUUAUUAUUAGAUCACAAUAUGAACAUAAAGUUAGCAGAUUUUGGAUUUAGUAAUCAGUUUACGGAGGGAACUAAACUGUCAACAUGGUGCGGAUCGCCUCCGUAUGCUGCCCCCGAACUAUUCCAGGGUUUUAAGUACGAUGGUCCAAAGGCCGAUAUUUGGAGCCUGGGAGUUGUUUUAUAUGUGUUAGUUUGUGGUUCACUGCCCUUUGACGGUCCUACAUUACAGGCCCUUAGGAACGUUGUCAUAUCCGGUAAAUUCCGAAUUCCGUACUUCAUGUCACAAGACUGUGAGCAUUUAAUAAGGCACAUGCUGGUGGUCGAUCCAGAUAAAAGACUGACGAUGUCACAGAUUGUGAAACAUCGGUGGUUGGCUGAGGCUCCGCCUGUCGACACCGGGCCCGAGAAAGAAAACGAACUCAACAAAACUGUCUUAGAACACAUGCUACAACUGCCCGGAUUGAACCAGAACAUGAUUUUGCAGUCUUUGAAAUCUAAUUCGUUCGACCACAUUUACGCUAUUUACAACUUGCUGGUUGAUAAACUGCACCAACGCACUAUCAACUUCCAGCAUAAAAUUUCGCAAAAGAACAGCAACGUCGAACAAAAGGAGAGAUUUUUGGAAGAAAGAGCACGAGUUCAUGAAGAACAACAACAACAACAACAACACAAGAUAGCAGAAAGAAGCGAAUCAUUUAACGAGAAGUUGGUUGUUCACAAAUAUAGUAAAUCGAGCGAAAUUAGAGAGUUGGAAGUGGAUGGUAAAUUGGCCGAGCCGAAAAACGGCCGUCGAGAAAGUUUUAAUGAGAAUUGUUUGCGCGAAAUACGGGACGAAGUAAACGAAAAACGACGACCAAGUUCGGACAGCAUAAAUGAAGACGGAACGUACCCAUUUAUAUCUAUGCCUACCAUCCCAGCCGUUUAUCUGGCAGGCGAUUUGGAAAAUCAACCACUGGAAAAGUUCGGAGAUAUGGAAACGGACCUAUCCGACGAUUUAGGAAAUUUGCCCUCUUCAGCUUCUACGACGGGAUACAGUAGUUGCACUUCAACAGGUGAACAUUAUUUGGCAAUUCGAAGACACACGGUGGGACCUGGAGAUUCUGCACAUGAACAGGUGUUGGAGUCGCAUUACAUGUCGCAAGUCCAGCAGGAUCCCACUUUGCCAAACAUAAAUCUGCCUCUGGAUUUACCUUCGUUGGGUCAACAGAAUUACCAUUAUUUCGGUGGAAAAGAUCCGCACCUACUUAAGCCGCCGACCGUGUUGAACGUGGUGGGCGGAUUUGGGAGACGAGCGUCAGAUGGUGGUGCUAAUUUUCAUAUGGCAUGGGGCACACCAGGUUCUCACGAACAGUUGUCCGUCAUGUCGUCUAGUUCGAGUGGUAAUCCUAGUCUUAGCAGCGGCACCGGCACUCAAACACUCGACAGGAGUCAACCGACUUUGGACGAACUUUCUGACCCCUACGCAGUUGCUCGAUACAUGAAAUGCAGAGGUAAUUCGAAAAGGCAUACGAUGGCAAAUCCUGAAGACGUUCACACUCUACAGACUAGUACGUCUUCGACAGGUCGAACUAGAAGGACUGGUUUGCAUACAGUUAUGGAACGGCCUCCAGUGAUUUCGCCCGAAUUAAUAUUGGAGGUUGAGGCUCGCAUGGGACGCAACUAUUUGCCACCCAUGCCUAUCAUGCCCCAACGCAAGCACUCUCGACAUGCCGUCAAACCCCAUUUGCCCACAGUUCAGGAACUUCAAGGGCGAGAACAGAAAUCUUCAGAACGAUUCAGCCCAGUCAGGAGGGGUAGCGAGGGUUCUGCAGGCAGUGGUCGAACGUUAAGCCCAACAACCCCCCAGCAGGAAUGCCAGCGGUUACAGCGAGGUUUGGCAACGCGUAACAGUCCUCCGCGAUCGAUACCAGGUUCCCCCAUUCAUCAUUUCGUAACGGAUGCGUGUUAUCCCGAAUCGAACUCUCCCGUUCACCAGCCGUCAUCGAGCAAUAUGUCGUCAGAGAACUUCCCCUCGUCGAGUUUCGCUUACGACCCUAACCACAGUUAUGGAAACAGUCCCGUGCAUUCUGGUAGCACUUCACCUUACACCCACAACUCGAGCAGCGGCUUGAACUCCCCAAGUCAUCAGGCGAUGUACGGACAACUGCCCAAUUUGAGUCUGUACGCCGGUGGUAACGUUCCCAUCAACAAGCCUCUUCUUAAUCCCAGUAUGCCCCAAGUAUUCGGUACCUAUGGACCCAAUGCAGCCGUCGCUCUCCCGCAACCGACCAGUAUAUCGUCCAUUACGCAAGGUAUAAGCGUUUUAAAUACGACCGGCAUUGGUUCAAUAACGCAGGGAACACCAGCGACGAAUCUUCAACAGGAUAUUCGAGGUCAACAGCAGAUGUUAUCUUUGCAGUCGGACGAUAAAAUGGACACCGCUGCUUACGGCAAUCUGGUUCAUCCCUACAUGCACCAGUCGCCUGUGCCCCAUCAUAUGCAUCACAUUCUGAACAUACACAAUCAUCGUAGUUUAACGAAUUCGCCGAUUAGCAAUCCGGGCAGUCCGGGCUUGGACAUGAUUCAAGAGGAACAAUCACACGGUCACGGCAUCCAUAACAAAGAGCUCGUAUGCCAUCCUCAGAUAUCAGUAACCGACGUUUUAGGUAGCGAAGUUACACUGGUAGCCGGUUCGGAUACGUCUGAGGAUUCAAUGGAUAGUCUCGAAAACCAGAUCCCAAAAAUACCGUCGUUUAUAAUAUCUGAACCGUCAGAAAACCAGCCGUCGAUUACGAAAGGCAUCGGUCGAAAAACGAGUGCCGAUAACAAUGACGAAACAAAAUUUUUUAAUCGACCUCAGCAGUCAGACACCUGCGGAGGGGGUGGCAACUGCGGCGAAAACAAUCAAGCAACUGACGAGUUUUUUCUGAAACGAAAUAAUCCAUCAGAUAAGAGUCCGUGUUAUUCGGACGACUCGCUGUCCAAUGAUAGUCUCAGUAUAGGAAACCAAAGUCCCAGCUCAGGCUCAAAUACCCAGAGCAGUUAUUUCGAUCAAGAAUUACGCUCCCGGCCCAUUGACACUAACUACAUCCAAAAACAAAUCGACCAAGAACUGGCCAACUCCGGUGCGGAGAACUUUGAAAUUUUUAAAAACUUAAACCUCGCCAUCGUUCAGCAUCACCACCAUCAACAGGAUAACAUGGAUAUCGAUCGUUCUCGACACCAAGACAGCAACAACAGCAAAUUACUGGAAGCAUGUAAACAUUCCGGGUCUUUUGAAGUCGAAUUACCAAAAGAUUGCGCAAAUUUAGAAUCGACGGACAUUUUGGAAAUGGUGAAAAGAUCGAUUAAUGACCAGGUGCCGCCGAAGUGCUGCAUCUUAAGUUCUACUCCUGAACAUUUAGCGAACAAAUUGUCGUUGGAAUACGAGGGCGGUAUUCAAAUCGAACUUCGUAUCGUAGACAAACGGAAAGACGCGAAAGGACUGAAAGUGCGUCGGAUAUCCGGUGACCAGCUUGUCUGUAAUCAGCUCUGCCAACAGCUGAUCUCUUGCAUGUCGGUCUCUUAACGAACGGCGUGAAUCAUUGUUGUUAUAAAUUAUUAAUUCUGUGAACGUUUUAGUUCGCGUUUUUUGUUUUCAUUACAUAAUUGACUGAUUAUUUGAUUGAUUAGUUAUUAUUGAUAGAUUGACAGAGCAUCUUUGUCCAGUUUUGUUUGAGACUUUUAUGACUAAAAAAUAACGAAUGACGUUGCAACCAUCUCCUGUGCUUCCAGAAAAACAUUAAUAGUACUUUAUGAUUAUUUCAAAGGUAAGAAUCUUUUGACGCAGAAGAAAUCGAAAUGAUAAAUAAAAAGUGAAAUAAAAUAAACUUAUUCUAUCUAUCUAUCUAUCUGUAGGUACAUUUAUAAUACACUUUCUGCUUGACGCAGGUCGUCGAUUCCUUUCGGUGGAGUGAAAUAGUGGCUUUGAUUAUUAAAUAUUAUUCCACUAGAAAAUUUUGUAAAUAGNG